Amphiprion ocellaris (clown anemonefish) is the source of this 5664-nucleotide long non-coding RNA. NCBI's taxonomy places the organism in Eukaryota, Metazoa, Chordata, Actinopteri, Pomacentridae. The record is from Ensembl.
UUUGGUUGAUUUUUAUGUGAAUGUUCUUAAGAAACAUUUGUAACAUUUCUUUUUUCCACCAAAAAAUGUUCACAGAUUUCCCAAAAAUGUUAAAUGUGGACAUCAGAAAUUUCAGUGUGAAAAUAUAUAUUUUUUCCCACAUUUUCAUCUUUAAAACGGGUCAAUUUUGACCCGCAGGACGACACGAGGGUUAAAAAAAAAUAGAUCUAUACACCACAAUGUGUUCUUUCCUGAUACUUUUUCAGUCGAUUUUAAGCUCUUUUCAGUCUGUCUAGUCGCUAUAAUGCGGUGUGUGUGCAGCGGUCCAUGGAUCCAUGUUCUCAGGGUGUAAUAUUCUCAUGCAUCUUCACAUCUCCAUCUCUAUUUGUGAGGUUAACUGUGUGUCGUACGGUGCCGUCAGUGUUCCUGUUGGCUAACAGCAAGCAUCCCCGCGACUGUGGUCAAAAGAUUUUUUUAAAAAUCUUCAUUUUUUUUCAGCUGUAUAAGCUAACAAAAUACUGUGGAAUAAGCUUUUCAGUAGCUCAAAUAACAGCCACUAAUUAAAAUGUAAACGAGAUGCUGGCUAGACUCGGACUACAUCAACAUUAAUGCAUAGUUUACUGAGGUCUAAUUCAGUUUUUUUUUUUCUCUAAUUUUGGUAAAAGUGCACAUCAUUAAUGACCAGGCAGAGAAAGUGAUUUUAAGAUGCCUCAUUUAGGAGAAGACGAGCAGUUUUUUGCACAACGCCGAGCUUGAUAGCGUCCAGUGAAUGGGGAGAAGCAAAAGAAAAGCUUUUUAAAAAAAAUUCUUUGUUUCAAAAGACAUUCAAAAAAGAAAAAAAAAAACAAAUCAACAAGGGAGCAAAGACUAAACGAAAUGCUCAGCUUUGUUUUUUCACUGUGAUGUUAAUUUUGUCUGUGUGUACAAGUGUGUAUAGUCCUCUCUGAUUUCCUUUAGCAUACAGCUUCAUACGGCUCAAAAAAACGCAGAAGACUUUCUUCGUAUUAACGCUUUCAGAUCCCACAUUUCUCCUAGCGACGUAUGGGAUCUUAAAGCUUUAAGGUUGAGAAGAUCUCGGUGAUUGUUCAGGCUGUCAAAACAAGGUCUCAUUGUAGGAAAAAAAAGAAGGAAAACUACUCUUUAUUAUUACCAUUUAAUGCUGUAUUACAGUGACCAGCAUAUAUAUCUUCUAUGUUUGUGUGUUGUUGUCCUUGUAAAUAACAGUAUGUUACUCCUCUGUUUGCCCUUGAAAAACACAGAUUGAUUAAAAAAAAAAAAAAAAAAAAAAAACGAAAAAAGGAAACAGCAAAUGGAGAGGGUAUUUUUUGUUAUUUGUCCUUCAGGAGAAACACAUUAUGUACAUACCUUCAGUUUAUUGUAAAUAAGUGAUUUAAAAAAAAAAAAACAACUGGCAUUGACAUUUUGUGUGUCAUAAAUAAUCUGUGUAUGGCAGUUCAAGCGGUUAAAAAAUCUGUUUCAGUGUUUAUUAAAAAGUCAUGGACCAUUUUUACUGCACUAACCUUGCAUCUGCUGCCGUUACUUCAUCAGCUGUUUGCGUGUUGGAAUGAACAGAAAGCUUUAAAGCAGGAGUGUCCAACAUGAGGCCCGCGGGCCAAAAGUGGUCCUCCAGAGGGUCCAAUCCGUCCCUCAAAGUGUAAAAAUUCCAGGGAAGACAUUAACUGCAGAUUGUAAAUUAGUAAAACUAUAAACUUAAAAUAAUUUCUAGACCAUGACAAGUUGUUUUGAUCAUAAAGUAAAAUACUAGAUUGUUCAUUGUUCUUUUGUUGUUUUGUGUAUCAUUUUUGUAAUAUUUUGUCUUAUUUUUGUUGUUUUUUUGUCUGACUUUUGUCAUUUGUCUAAUGUUUUUGUCGUUUUGUUUCCUUUUUUGUUGUUUUGUUUCCCUUUUGUCUUGCUUGUGUUUUUUGUCUUAGUUUUUGUCAUUUUGCAUUUUUUUUGUCUCACUUGCGUUGUUUGUCUGUUUUUUGGUGGUUUUGUUUCUUGCUUUUGUCAUUUUUUGUCUUUUUUUAAUUUGUUUCGUGUCUGUCUCAUUUUUUUGUCAUUUUGUGUCUUGCUUUUGUAAUACUUUGUCUUGUUUUUUGUCUGACUUUUGUUUUUGUCGCUUUGCUUCUCAUUUUGUUUUGCAUUUUUUCUCAGUUAUUUAUUGGUUAUUAUGUUAUGAUUUUACUGGUCUGGCCCUCUAGAGAUCAGAUUGUGGCCUGAACUAAGAUGAGUUUGACACGCCUGCUUUAAAUGAUGCUGCUGUGUGUCUGAAUCUGACAUGCAGCUCCUGUUUUGCAGUUAUGCUUUAAAUUUAAUGAUGAAGAUGUUCACUUUUUAGUGGUUGGAAUGACUUCAUCCACCUGGACUUUUGUGGCGUUUUGCCCCUCGCAGCUCGUCGUCCAACAGGUGUCAGCCUAGUGCCAAGCAACAGUUUGUUUGUCCUGUAUCGCAUGUAACACCGGCAGACCACCCAUGCUCGCCCGUGUGAAAGUCACACAAUGUUCUAACUGUAUUUACAGCCCCUUUUCAUUGGCAAACUGUUUAAAAAGCAGCUUUCUCCCGCUACUGUGUACGAGCCGCAGACGCACGCUGCCAAGAACAAGAGUGACGUUUUAGCGGAUUAAUCCAAAACGCCCCGCAGAUGAGUGUCUCUUUCUUUUAUUAACAGUUCAGCAACUAACAUCUACACCUACUUGGCUCUCAAACGUGUGAUUAAGGAUUAUUUGAGGAAGCUCUGUUUACAUCUCUCUCCAUUCAUUCAGAAAUGCUUUCUAAUGGUCUGAGCCACCCAGUUGUAGUUUGGAGUGCCUGUUUUGUCUUGAUAAAUAAGUCCAACGGUCUAUUUCCAAGUGUGUGUGUGUGUGUGUGUGUGUGUGUGUGUGUGUGUGUGUGUGUGCUGCUGAUAUUGCAGGGUUUGCAAACAGGAGGGCUGGGCACCGAGAGGAGAGCUUCCACAGGGCCGGACCCGUCUAACUGCCCCUAUCCAGACGCCCUCCUCCCCAACCUAACCUGCCCCUUUGCUCCACAGCCCGCCCAGCCCACCACCACCACCACCACCACCACCACCACCACCAGUACCAGCACCCCUCCUCCACUCAAACGCACCCUCUUUUCCCUCUCUCUCCUGCUGUGUGCCAUUCCCUCUCUCUCUCUCUCUCUCCUUACACUUCCUCCAAGUGGCCAGGGCUCCUCUCUUUUCUCUUGUCCUCUCCACAUCCCUCCACCACUCCUUCUUCUCCCUCCACAGCGACCAAUUCACCGGCUCCAUCUUCACCUCCUCAGGUUGAAAAAAAAAGAAGAAGCAGGAUCUCUUUCCCAGAACUUCCCCUCCGAACAUCUGUUUGUUUAUUUUUUGGUCCGUCCUCACCGGUUUUCCCUGCGGAGAGGCCUGUCGGUGAGCGUGUCUGGCGUGUGCGAGGGUCUCCGGUGUCGUGCUCUUUGCCCCCGAGGGACUCCCCUGAAAGCUUUUUGACCGGAGAGAAGAUCGCAGGAGAAGAAGAAGUUUUUCCCUCACGAUGAAAGUUCAGCUGCUGCUCCUCCUGGCCCUGGCCGGCCCUUUCUGUGCCUUCACUCGUGCAAGCCCCACAGAGCUCCCUGCAGACACCACCGAAGAGAUCCCAGUGACAGCAGCCGUCCCUGAUGCCACCAAUGCUGCAAAAGAGGAACUUAUCACUCUUGUCACCGGGCCCCCUGCCACCGAACCGGCGGCAGCCCCUGAAGAACUCAUGACAGAGGUUGUCACCGAGGCAGCACCUGCAACCACGGUCAUCAUGGAAGAGGCCGUGGCUGAGACAGAAGGCCCCGUUGCUUCUACUGCAGCGGCACCAGAACCCCUCGUCACCGACGCUCCUGUCGUGACCGAAGCCCCGACCGAGGCUGCAGAGGUUCCAGACGUUCCAGCCGAGGCGACGGCGGCCGUGGAGACAAAUGAGGAAGUUGUCGUUGAGGAGGGCUCAGAAGAUGGCCUGAGCUCUGGUCAGGUAGUCGGCAUCGUGAUCGGCGCCCUGCUGGCGGUUGUCAUCGUCAUCGCCGUGGUGAUCGCCGUGGUGAGGAGGAUGGGCAAAUACUCGCCUUGAGGAAAAAGUCAGCCAAGCAGCAGGAGCGUGCAAAGUUCUGGAAAUUCUGAACUACUGAACUGUGAUGUUAUUUCUGAUCAUUAAAACAAGCACGAUCCCAGAACUGAAUUAAUCUAACCAGGACUCUGAACUGUUGCCAAAAAACAAACAAACCAAAAAAAAAAAAAAGAAACCGAGGGGGAGGGAGGUUUGUGUGUGUUAAUGUAUAUACUGCAUGUAUGUGAGAUGAGACGGGGUUACAUGAGCCGACAUCCUCACCUCCCCUGCUACCUCCUCCAUCCCUGGGAGCUGCUGAUAAUAAAAGGCUCCGUCAGCCCCCUUACUCCCUUGAAGAGAACAAAACAAGGUGACAGCAGGAUGUCACAAAGAAUUUCAGGGCUUUUCAAAUGCAUUUUAUAGAGAAAAAGAGAGAGAGAGAAGAAGGGGGAUUAUCUGACAUCCAGGGGAAAAUUCUCUCCUUUUAAAGUGAUGUAGCGACUGACUUAGAUUAAUGCUGAAGUUGGAGGAAAGGAAUAUAGAAAUGGAAAAUACUGACAAAAAAUAUAUAUAAAUCAAACCCACAAAGAGAGUCAGGAUUAGGAAAGCAGGAAAUACUGUUGCAAAUUCCACAGGAUGUAUAUACAAUGCAAGGGGACUACAUAGUAUACAGCUAAUGACUUUCUCAUAUGUUGCAGUUGCAUAGGUUAGCAUUUGAUAUUAUGGAAUACGCAGUAUGUACAGGCAGCCGUAGGCUAUUGUUGUGGCUAAAACAACCCCUGAGCACCAGCUAGAAGAUCUUCUCAUGUAGCCAGAAUCCCUGACAUGUGUUGGCCAACUGUAUAAAGCACCGAGUGCAGAAGUUGCUCUGACAUAACAGUCGUGAGGGCGAGCAGCGAGGGGAAAAGGCACCCUCAUUUGCAAGAGUAACGUGACAUUCUGCCCACUUUAACACUGACAUAUAAAAACCUAAUACAUAUCUGUGAAAUUUAGCAGAAGGGUUUGUGCCACUGUCUCUGGUAUUCUCUAGCUAGCUAGGAAGAUUUUAACUUUUGAAGUGCAUUAUUAAUGUGAAUUGACUCUACUUUUUAACUGACACCCAUUCCAAAGAAAAAAGCAACACGACUUGUUCAUUAUAAGGGCUCACACACAGCCAGCAAUAGCAGUGUCUUGACAAUGUAUUCAUAGUAAUUCUGUUCAUAGUUAGAUUACCAGAACAGCCAUCCAGCCUUUAACUGGAGCUAACCCCACAUUGCAUGCACAGGAUGACGUUUCACAGUUGCACUUCAUCGCAGUGCACAGUGUUAGGCAGUUUUAUUGUUAUUUUUUGCAAUUGUAAGUGUGCUAAAUGGGUCUGCAGAUAAUGAAGUCUCAACUUACCCCUGCUUGCUUUACAGACUUGUUUAAUAUGUGCACUGAAUGAGUGGUAUAAUGUUUAAUGAAUAGGCUUUUAGACACUGCAAAUGUUUGCAACGACGUGUUUGUUUCCUCCCUUCUGCUUCGCCACAUAUUAUCACUUCUAGGUCUUUAAUUUGUGCCGUCUGAUUCGUUCAAGCCUUUUAUUUAAUUGCAGCGUUUUUGUUCAUACUGUUUCAAUAAAAAAACUGAAAAACACUCCAUGGAAAGAUCUCGC